AUUGAACGCUGGCGGCAUGCCUUACACAUGCAAGUCGAACGGCAGCACGGGAGCAAUCCUGGUGGCGAGUGGCGAACGGGUGAGUAAUACAUCGGAACGUGCCCAGUAGUGGGGGAUAGCCCGGCGAAAGCCGGAUUAAUACCGCAUACGACCUACGGGUGAAAGCGGGGGAUCGCAAGACCUCGCGCUAUUGGAGCGGCCGAUGGCAGAUUAGGUAGUUGGUGAGGUAAAGGCUCACCAAGCCAACGAUCUGUAGCUGGUCUGAGAGGACGACCAGCCACACUGGGACUGAGACACGGCCCAGACUCCUACGGGAGGCAGCAGUGGGGAAUUUUGGACAAUGGGCGCAAGCCUGAUCCAGCCAUGCCGCGUGCGGGAAGAAGGCC
Molecule: ribosomal RNA, 386 nt
Filed under: uncultured bacterium
Lineage: Bacteria
Description: bacterial SSU rRNA
Rfam family: Bacterial small subunit ribosomal RNA
Source: RNAcentral